Molecule: ribosomal RNA, 350 nt
Filed under: uncultured eukaryote
Lineage: Eukaryota
Description: SSU rRNA
Rfam family: Eukaryotic small subunit ribosomal RNA
Source: RNAcentral
CCAGCAGCUGCGGUAAUUCCAGCUCCAAUAGCGUAUAUUAAAGUUGUUGCAGUUAAAAAGCUCGUAGUUGAACUUUAGGCAAGGCGACCUGGUCACCCACUGGGUGUACUGGGUUCGCCGCGCCUCACCUUCGGGGAACUAGUCGUGCUUCGGUGCGCUAGGGAACCGAGCCUUACUUUGAAGAAAUUAGAGUGUUUAAAGCAGGCUUACGCUUGAAUACGCCAGCAUGGAAUAACAAGAUAGGACUUUGGUUCUAUUUUGUUGGUUUGAGGACCAAAGUAAUGAUUAAUAGGGCCAGUCGGGGGCAUUAGUAUUCUAUAGUCAGAGGUGAAAUUCUUGGAUUUAUAGAA